UCGGACGAGCUAUUUUGAAGCGCAGGAGCUGUUAUAGGUCUUCUUAUAGCUGCUGCCGGUGGACCAUUAAACUCUUGUUAUUUUAUGUAAUCUGAGCGUCUUAUUUUAAUAAGUCAAAACUUUCAACAACGGAUCUCUUGGUUCUGGCAUCGAUGAAGAACGCAGCGAAAUGCGAUAAGUAAUGUGAAUUGCAGAAUUCAGUGAAUCAUCGAAUCUUUGAACGCACAUUGCGCCCAUUAGUAUUCUAGUGGGCAUGCCUGUUCGAGCGUCAUUUCAACCCUUAAGCCUAGCUUAGUGUUGGGAAUCUACUUCUCUUAGGAGUUGUAGUUCCUGAAAUACAACGGCGGAUUUGUAGUAUCCUCUGAGCGUAGUAAUUUUUUUCUCGCUUUUGUUAGGUGCUAUAACUCCCAGCCGCUAAACCCCCAAUUUUUUGUGGUUGACCUCGGAUCAGGUAGGAAUACCCGCUGAACUUAAGCUAAUCAAUAAGCGGAGGAA
This 495-nucleotide ribosomal RNA is filed under the name uncultured fungus. Its description in RNAcentral is "eukaryotic LSU rRNA". The stretch from base 118 to 271 matches the Rfam family "5.8S ribosomal RNA". The record is from RNAcentral. Lineage: Eukaryota; Fungi.